RNAcentral lists this ribosomal RNA (197 nucleotides) under uncultured bacterium. Its description in RNAcentral is "partial 16S ribosomal RNA". It matches the Rfam family "Bacterial small subunit ribosomal RNA", at positions 335 to 524 of the family's 1533-position model. The record is from RNAcentral.
ACUCCUACGGGAGGCAGAGUGGGGAAUUUUGCGCAAUGGGGGAAACCCUGACGCAGCAACGCCGCGUGGGUGAUGAAGGCCUUCGGGUCGUAAAGCUCUGUCUGGAGGGAAGAAAUGAUUGGGAGCUAAUACCUCUUGACCUUGACGGUACCUCUGAAGGAAGCACCGGCUAACUCCGUGCCAGCAGCCGCGGUAAU